AACUUUCAACAACGGAUCUCUUGGCUCUGGCAUCGAUGAAGAACGCAGCGAAAUGCGAUAAGUAAUGCGAAUUGCAGAAUUCAGUGAAUCAUCGAAUCUUUGAACGCACAUUGCGCCCGCUAGUAUUCUGGCGGGCAUGCCUGUCUGAGCGUCAUUUCAACCCUCGCGCCCGGCUCUUUUGCCGGAUGCGGUGUUGGGGAUCGGCCUGCCGUCUGACGGCGGGCCGGCCCCGAAAUGGAGUGGCGACCACGCCGUAGCCUCCUCUGCGUAGUAAUUUAAUUCUCGCAGGCGGAGAGCGGUGCGGUCACGCCGUUAAACCCCCAAACUUUACCAAGGUUGACCUCAGAUCAGGUAGGAAUACCCGCUGAACUUAAGCAUAUCAAUAAGCGGAGGC
RNAcentral lists this unclassified non-coding RNA (394 nucleotides) under uncultured Acremonium. Its description in RNAcentral is "sequence contains ITS2". The stretch from base 1 to 154 matches the Rfam family "5.8S ribosomal RNA". Lineage: Eukaryota; Fungi; Ascomycota. The record is from RNAcentral.